AGCAUGUUAGCUCAGCAGGUGGAGCGUCGGGCUCAUGACCCGGAGGUAAGUCAAGGUUCCCACGCCAUUUAUCCAUAAAAACAUCAAACUAACAAUACCUAGACCCUGGAUCGAAACCAGGACAUGCUA
Molecule: transfer RNA, 129 nt
Filed under: Penicillium chrysogenum
Lineage: Eukaryota; Fungi; Ascomycota; Eurotiomycetes; Eurotiales; Aspergillaceae
Also listed under: 2 other names
Description: tRNA-Met
Rfam family: tRNA
About the family: Transfer RNA (tRNA) molecules are approximately 80 nucleotides in length. Their secondary structure includes four short double-helical elements and three loops (D, anti-codon, and T loops). Further hydrogen bonds mediate the characteristic L-shaped molecular structure. tRNAs have two regions of fundamental functional importance: the anti-codon, which is responsible for specific mRNA codon recognition, and the 3' end, to which the tRNAs corresponding amino acid is attached (by aminoacyl-tRNA synthetases). tRNAs cope with the degeneracy of the genetic code in two manners: having more than one tRNA (with a specific anti-codon) for a particular amino acid; and 'wobble' base-pairing, i.e. permitting non-standard base-pairing at the 3rd anti-codon position.
Source: RNAcentral